This 449-nucleotide ribosomal RNA is filed under the name uncultured bacterium. Its description in RNAcentral is "partial 16S ribosomal RNA". It matches the Rfam family "Bacterial small subunit ribosomal RNA", at positions 29 to 523 of the family's 1533-position model. The record is from RNAcentral.
AGCGAACGCUGGCGGCAGGCCUAACACAUGCAAGUCGAACGAACUCUUCGGAGUUAGUGGCGGACGGGUGAGUAACACGUGGGAACGUGCCUUUAGGUUCGGAAUAACUCAGGGAAACUUGUGCUAAUACCGAAUGUGCCCUUCGGGGGAAAGAUUUAUCGCCUUUAGAGCGGCCCGCGUCUGAUUAGCUAGUUGGUGAGGUAAAGGCUCACCAAGGCUACGAUCAGUAGCUGGUCUGAGAGGAUGACCAGCCACAUUGGGACUGAGACACGGCCCAAACUCCUACGGGAGGCAGCAGUGGGGAAUCUUGCGCAAUGGGCGAAAGCCUGACGCAGCCAUGCCGCGUGGAUGAUGAAGGUCUUAGGAUUGUAAAAUCCUUUCACCGGUGAAGAUAAUGACUGUAGCCGGAGAAGAAGCCCCGGCUAACUUCGUGCCAGCCGCCGCCGUAA